AGAGUUUGAUCCUGGCUCAGAUUGAACGCUGGCGGUAUGCUUAACACAUGCAAGUCGAACGGAAACGAUGGAAGCUUGCUUCCAGGCGUCGAGUGGCGGACGGGUGAGUAACGCGUAGGAAUCUGCCUGAUAGUGGGGGAUAGCCCGGAGAAAUCCGGAUUAAUACCGCAUAAUCUCUACGGAGUAAAGGAGGCCUCUAUUUAUAUGCUUUCGCUAUCAGAUGAGCCUGCGUAAGAUUAGCUAGUUGGUGAGGUAAAAGCUCACCAAGGCAACGAUCUUUAGCUGGUCUGAGAGGAUGAUCAGCCACAUCGGGACUGAGACACGGCCCGAACUCCUACGGGAGGCAGCAGUGGGGAAUAUUGGACAAUGGGGGCAACCCUGAUCCAGCAAUACCGCGUGUGUGAAGAAGGCCUGAGGGUUGUAAAGCACUUUCAAUUGUGAAGAAAAGUUAACGGUUAAUAACCGUUGACCUUGACGUUAACUUUAGAAGAAGCACCGGCUAACUCCGUGCCAGCAGCCGCGGUAAUACGGAGGGUGCAAGCGUUAAUCGGAAUUACUGGGCGUAAAGCGUGCGUAGGCGGUUUAUUAAGUCAGAUGUGAAAGCCCCGGGCUUAACCUGGGAACUGCAUUUGAAACUGGUCAACUAGAGUAUGGUAGAGGAAAGUGGAAUUUCUGGUGUAGCGGUGAAAUGCGUAGAUAUCAGAAGGAACAUCAAUGGCGAAGGCAGCUUUCUGGACCAAUACUGACGCUGAGGUACGAAAGCGUGGGUAGCAAACAGGAUUAGAUACCCUGGUAGUCCACGCCGUAAACGAUGAUAACUAGCCGUUGGGGGGAUUUACCCUUUAGUGGCGAAGCUAACGCGUUAAGUUAUCCGCCUGGGGAGUACGGCCGCAAGGCUAAAACUCAAAGGAAUUGACGGGGACCCGCACAAGCGGUGGAGCAUGUGGUUUAAUUCGAUGCAACGCGAAGAACCUUACCUGGUCUUGACAUCCUGCGAACUUUCUAGAAAUAGAUUGGUGCCUUCGGGAACGCAGUGACAGGUGCUGCAUGGCUGUCGUCAGCUCGUGUCGUGAGAUGUUGGGUUAAGUCCCGUAACGAGCGCAACCCCUAUCCUUAUUUGCCAGCACAUUAUGGUGGGAACUAUAAGGAGACUGCCGGUGAUAAACCGGAGGAAGGCGGGGACGACGUCAAGUCAUCAUGGCCCUUACGACCAGGGCUACACACGUGCUACAAUGGGAAGGACAAAGAGCCGCGAAGCCGCGAGGUGUAGCUAAUCUCAUAAAUCUUUUCGUAGUCCGGAUUGGAGUCUGCAACUCGACUCCAUGAAGUCGGAAUCGCUAGUAAUCGUAGAUCAGAAUGCUACGGUGAAUACGUUCCCGGGUCUUGUACACACCGCCCGUCACGCCAUGGAAGCCGGUAGUGCCCAACGCCAGUGUCCCAACCUUCGGGAGGGAACUGUCUAAGGUAAGAUCGGUAACUGGGGCGAAGUCGUAACAAGGUAACC
Molecule: ribosomal RNA, 1504 nt
Filed under: uncultured bacterium
Lineage: Bacteria
Description: bacterial SSU rRNA
Rfam family: Bacterial small subunit ribosomal RNA
Source: RNAcentral